UCUGGGCCAGGCAGUCUGGAAGUCACCUGUCCAAGGUCACCUACGCCUUGAAGGAGUCCCUGGGGCUAAGGUGGCUUUUCCCAAGCCUCGGGCCAUCCUGGUGACUUCUCUUCUAGUGGCUGCUUAGCUGGCAGCUACUCAGGAACCUGAACCUAUUUUGGCUCCAGUCCUCCUUUGACACCUGAAUGUCACAUCCUCACUGUCUGGCUCGUUUUGACAGUGACUGAAAACUCUCAAGUGAGAGUUUCUGGGAGGCCCUGCCCGGUCUGCCCACAGGAGGGGAAAAUGGUGUGUGGGCUGAGCCUCGGAAGGGCUGGGGUCCCUGGGUCCCCCUGUUCUAGUUAGAGAACUGGCCACAGAAGCCCCGAGAUGGCCUUCCCUGGGACACAUGGCCGUGUGACAUCCAGCCGGGCUGCCCGGCCGGGGGCCGUCAGCACCACCUGGUUUGGGACCUCGCGGAAGAGCGGCCUUGGCUGCCCACGGCACUUGGUCUUUCCAACCUGGCCAUGGCGAGAUGCAGCGGGGCCCUGUCUUCCAGGACACCGUUGACGUGUGCGCCUGUCUAGUCACCGCCCCGCUGGCCUCUCCGCACUAGCUACUUGUGACAGCUCAUUGUGGUCGGUCCUUUUAAGGCAAUCAGGGCAUUGUUUUGGGGGACACCUCUACAGCCUCCUACCGUCAGUGACCUGGCCUCAGCUACAGUGACGCUCCCCGGGCAGUGGUGUUCGCAGACAAGAUGAGAAAGGUCACACUGCAAAUGGGAGAGCAUGUGACUAGCACCCCUCGCCCCCGAGAGAGCUGACCAGGCGGCUGAUGAGAACCACCUCCUGGGAGUUGAAGGAAGAUUCCGGGCUCAGCCACCCUUCAGCCACCUCACUGGCCACUUGCAGUCUAUCAGGUGACCUUGCUCCCCUGUGGGGCCUCACGGUGACAGCUGAUGCAGGCACUGCUGAAGGCCGAACGGAUGUGGCCUGGUUGUCCCCAAGCUAUGCUCAAGGGCUAGAGGGACGGAGAGAGAAGGGAAGCCAGGCCGGAGGAGCCCACUGGGCUGCCGUGUGCAGAGGGCAGAGGGUCCCAUUCUCUUGCCCUCACGGCCCAGGAGGGUGGCACUGCUUUAAGACGGUGGCUCUGGUCUCCUUGUGAGAAAAAGCACGAAAUCAAUAAAC
Lemur catta (Ring-tailed lemur) is the source of this 1166-nucleotide long non-coding RNA. RefSeq lists it as uncharacterized. The transcript is spliced from 4 exons. The record is from RefSeq and is a predicted model, not a curated record. Lineage: Eukaryota; Metazoa; Chordata; Mammalia; Primates; Lemuridae.